AUGUCCCCCAGGAAGGACGCCGGCCCCUCGCCGGCGGCGGCGCCCGCCACCGCGCCUGCCCUAACGCCUUCCCCAUUCAUGCCCAUGUGUCAGAUGCGGCGGGAUGAGUGCGCAGACCUCCUCAAGCUGAUCUCAGGCGUCUCGCGCCCGCUCGAGGACGUCGUGGCGGAUUUCCUCGCCCGCGUCCCGCCCGAGCGCCGCCUCCGCUUCGGUUCCGCCAUCAAGUUUCUCCUCGAGGACAAGGUGAUGUUUCAACCAGCUGAGCGUUUAAUUGCAUUUGCAAUUCUUCAUCAAGGGUAUUCCUCACAGCUGACAAAUCCGUUUGUUCCAUUCUUAAUAAAUGUUGCCUGUGAUGAAAUUUCUGAGAGACCAGAACGUGUUUUUCUCCAGCUUUUGCUAACUUCAGCUAAUGAGGACAACAAUAAGGAGAUCUUGAAACAGUCUGCAGAAGAUUACUUGAAGGAGCCUUCUUAUGCAUCUCAGGUGUUGCUGCCAAAAGACCGUCUUGAAAGCCAAUACUCCUGCAAUGAUGUUCAGCUACAGACAUACACCAGUUGCGCAGCUGCUACGGUUAGAAGUGCUAUUCCUGACCCAGAUGUUUCCCAAAGCUGUGGUGAUUCAUCAGGAAUAUCACCGACCAAACUAAAUAGAGAUAAUGUGGUGACGAAUUUACUUCAACAAACACCACUGAGAGGAUUGUCUCCUCCAUGGAUUAGGCCCUCUCCCCCCAGACUUGAAAUACUUGAAGGGGAGUUGCAGUGGUUGAACCUGGACAACAACCAUGAGCUACUAUGGGAUAGUAGCAUGUGUGCUGACACUAGCCGAGGAGCUUCAAUCCGUGAUUUGGUCGGAAGAGCCUGUAAAGGACCACUUGCCCCUGCCCAACAAGAGCAAGUUGUUUUAGACUUAGCCAGGGACUGGAAGCUAGUUUAUCAUUGCGGAAUGACACCAGAGAAGCUUCCCGACCUUGUUGAACAUAAUCCACUCAUUGCUGUUGAUGUUCUUUCAAAGCUGAUCAAUUGUCCUGACAUGGAUUCUUAUUUCAAUGUUCUUGUGCACAUGGAAAUGAGCCUGCAUUCAAUGGAAGUUGUAAACAGGCUUACUACAGCAGUAGAUCUACCACCAGGAUUCAUUCAUGACUACAUCUCAAAUUGUAUUCGGUCAUGCCAAAAUAUCAAGGAUAAGUACAUGCAAAACAGACUUGUGAGACUAGUUUGUGUUUUUCUACAGAGUCUCAUUCGGAACAAGAUAAUAAAUGUUGAAGAUCUAUUCAUUGAGGUACAAGCCUUCUGCAUUGCGUUUUCUCGAAUAAGAGAAGCAGCUGGUUUGUUCAGGCUUCUCAAAUCUCUAGAGUGA
Molecule: ribosomal RNA, 1356 nt
Filed under: Triticum aestivum (bread wheat)
Lineage: Eukaryota; Viridiplantae; Streptophyta; Magnoliopsida; Poales; Poaceae
Description: partial small subunit ribosomal RNA
Source: RNAcentral